RNAcentral lists this ribosomal RNA (792 nucleotides) under uncultured Bacillota bacterium. RNAcentral describes it as "bacterial SSU rRNA". It matches the Rfam family "Bacterial small subunit ribosomal RNA", at positions 74 to 845 of the family's 1533-position model. Lineage: Bacteria; Bacillati; Bacillota. The record is from RNAcentral.
GUGGAGCAAUCCAUGAGUAGAGUGGCAAACGGGUGAGAACGCGUGGGCGACCUACCUCGAAGUGGGGGAUAACCUUCCGAAAGGAGGGCUAAUACCGCAUGACAUCCCAUGUUUGGAUACAUGGACAUCAAAGCCGGGGAUCGCAAGACCUGGCGCUUCAAGAGGGGCCCGCGUCCGAUUAGCUAGUUGGUGAGGUAACGGCUCACCAAGGCUCCGAUCGGUAUCCGGCCUGAGAGGGCGGACGGACACACUGGAACUGAGACACGGUCCAGACUCCUACGGGAGGCAGCAGUGGGGAAUUGUUCGCAAUGGGCGCAAGCCUGACGACGCAACGCCGCGUGGAGGAUGAAGACUUUCGGGUCGUAAACUCCUUUCGACCGAGAUGAAUGUCCUUCGACCUAACACGUCGAAGGAGUGACAGUAUCGAGGGAAGAAGCCCCGGCUAACUCCGUGCCAGCAGCCGCGGUAAUACGGGGGGGGCAAGCGUUGUUCGGAAUUACUGGGCGUAAAGGGUUCGUAGGUGGCUCGCUAAGUCAGACGUGAAAUCCCUCAGCUUAACUGGGGAACUGCGUCUGAGACUGGCGAGCUCGAGUGCAGGAGAGGAACGCGGAAUUCCAGGUGUAGCGGUGAAAUGCGUAGAUAUCUGGAGGAACACCGGUGGCGAAGGCGGCGUUCUGGACUGCAACUGACACUGAGGAACGAAAGCCAGGGUAGCAAACGGGAUUAGAUACCCCGGUAGUCCUGGCCCUAAACGAUGAAUGCUUGGUGUGGCGGGUAUCGAUCCCUGCCGUG